This 759-nucleotide ribosomal RNA is filed under the name Actinomycetales bacterium TLI283. RNAcentral's name for it is "bacterial SSU rRNA". It matches the Rfam family "Bacterial small subunit ribosomal RNA", at positions 117 to 888 of the family's 1533-position model. The record is from RNAcentral. Lineage: Bacteria; Bacillati; Actinomycetota; Actinomycetes; Actinomycetales.
GUGGGCAAUCUGCCCUGCACUCUGGGACAAGCCCUGGAAACGGGGUCUAAUACCGGAUACGAGCCUCCUGGGCAUCUGGGAGGUUGGAAAGCUCCGGCGGUGCAGGAUGAGCCCGCGGCCUAUCAGCUUGUUGGUGAGGUAACGGCUCACCAAGGCGACGACGGGUAGCCGGCCUGAGAGGGCGACCGGCCACACUGGGACUGAGACACGGCCCAGACUCCUACGGGAGGCAGCAGUGGGGAAUAUUGCACAAUGGGCGAAAGCCUGAUGCAGCGACGCCGCGUGAGGGAUGACGGCCUUCGGGUUGUAAACCUCUUUCAGCAGGGAAGAAGCGAGAGUGACGGUACCUGCAGAAGAAGCGCCGGCUAACUACGUGCCAGCAGCCGCGGUAAUACGUAGGGCGCAAGCGUUGUCCGGAAUUAUUGGGCGUAAAGAGCUCGUAGGCGGCUUGUCGCGUCGAUUGUGAAAGCCCGGGGCUUAACUCCGGGUCUGCAGUCGAUACGGGCAGGCUAGAGUGUGGUAGGGGAGAUCGGAAUUCCUGGUGUAGCGGUGAAAUGCGCAGAUAUCAGGAGGAACACCGGUGGCGAAGGCGGAUCUCUGGGCCAUUACUGACGCUGAGGAGCGAAAGCGUGGGGAGCGAACAGGAUUAGAUACCCUGGUAGUCCACGCCGUAAACGGUGGGCACUAGGUGUUGGCGACAUUCCACGUCGUCGGUGCCGCAGCUAACGCAUUAAGUGCCCCGCCUGGGGAGUACGGCCG